This is a long non-coding RNA of Clarias gariepinus (North African catfish), 150 nucleotides long. RefSeq lists it as uncharacterized. The record is from RefSeq and is a predicted model, not a curated record. NCBI's taxonomy places the organism in Eukaryota, Metazoa, Chordata, Actinopteri, Siluriformes, Clariidae. The transcript has 3 exons.
CUUACUCCAGCUCAGUGUGUUCACCGUCUCAGCCUUCAGACCCCAGAGGAGACAAGAAAACACUGGACGAUGUUAUUUACACACAAGUGACCAUCAAAACUAAAGACCCAGUGUACAGCCUGCCGUAAAAAUCCAGAUGUUUAUUACGCC